RNAcentral lists this ribosomal RNA (464 nucleotides) under uncultured bacterium. Its description in RNAcentral is "partial 16S ribosomal RNA". It matches the Rfam family "Bacterial small subunit ribosomal RNA", at positions 28 to 506 of the family's 1533-position model. The record is from RNAcentral.
GACGAACGCUGGCGGCGUGCUUAACACAUGCAAGUCGAACGGAAAGGCCCCUUUGGGGGUACUCGAGUGGCGAACGGGUGAGUAACACGUGAGUAACCUGCCCUUGACUUCGGGAUAACUUCAGGAAACUGGGGCUAAUACCGGAUAGGAAUCCUUGCUGCAUGGUGGGUGUUGGAAAGCUUCGGCGGUUUUGGAUGGACUCGCGGCUUAUCAGCUUGUUGGUGGGGUAGUGGCUUACCAAGGCUUUGACGGGUAGCCGGCCUGAGAGGGCGACCGGCCACAUUGGGACUGAGAUACGGCCCAGACUCCUACGGGAGGCAGCAGUGGGGAAUAUUGCACAAUGGGCGGAAGCCUGAUGCAGCAACGCCGCGUGCGGGAUGACGGCCUUCGGGUUGUAAACCGCUUUCAGCAGGGGCGAAGCUUGUGGUGACGGUACCUGCAGAAGAAGCACCGGCGAACUACGU